Molecule: ribosomal RNA, 352 nt
Filed under: uncultured microorganism
Description: bacterial SSU rRNA
Rfam family: Bacterial small subunit ribosomal RNA
Source: RNAcentral
GAGUUUGAUCGUGGCUCAGAUUGAACGCUGGCGGUAUGCUUAACACAUGCAAGUCGAACGGUAACAGGCUAGCUUGCUAGCGCUGACGAGUGGCGGACGGGUGCGUAACGCGUAGGAAUCUGCCUAUUAGUGGGGGACAACCUGGUGAAAACCAGGCUAAUACCGCAUACGCCCUACGGGGGAAAGCAGGGGAUCUUCGGACCUUGCGCUAAUAGAUGAGCCUGCGUUAGAUUAGCUUGUUGGUGAGGUAAUGGCGUCACCAAGGCGACGAUCUAUAGCUGGUCUGAGAGGACGAUCAGCCACACUGGGACUGAGACACGGCCCAGGACUCCUACGGGAGACAGCAGUGGGG